CCUACGGGAGGCAGCAGUGGGGAAUAUUGCACAAUGGGGGGAACCCUGAUGCAGCGACGCCGCGUGGGUGAAGGAGUAUUUCGGUAUGUAAAGCCCUAUCAGCAGGGAAGAACAAUGACGGUACCUGACUAAGAAGCACCGGCUAAACACGUGCCAGCAGCCGCGGCAAUCUGUAUGGUGCAAGCGUUAUCCGGAUUUACUGGGGGUAAAGGGAGCGCAGGCGGGGCGUUAAGCCUGGUGUGAAAGGCCGGGGCCCAACCGCGGGACUGCAUUGGGAACUGGCCCGCUGGAGUGAGGGAGGGGUAAGCGGAAUUCCUAGUGUAGCGGUGAAAUGCGUAGAUAUUAGGAGGAACACCAGUGGCGAAGGCGGCCUACUGGACGGUGACUGACGCUGAGGCUCGAAAGCGUGGGGAGCAAACAGGAUUAGAUACCCGUGUAGUC
This 441-nucleotide ribosomal RNA is filed under the name uncultured bacterium. RNAcentral's name for it is "partial 16S ribosomal RNA". It matches the Rfam family "Bacterial small subunit ribosomal RNA", at positions 338 to 795 of the family's 1533-position model. The record is from RNAcentral.